AGGACGAACGCUGGCGGCGUGCUUAACACAUGCAAAUCGAACGGAAAGGCCCUUUCGGGGGUACUCGAGCGGCGAACGGGUGAGUAACACGUGAGUAAUCUGCCCCUAGCUCUGGGAUAGCUCCGGGAAACCGGGAUUAAUACCAGAUACAACCACUUUAGACAUCUCUUGUGGUGGAAAGAAUUUCGGCUAGGGAUGAACUCGCGGCCUAUCAGCUUGUUGGUGAGGUAACGGCUCACCAAGGCGACGACGGGUA
RNAcentral lists this ribosomal RNA (256 nucleotides) under uncultured bacterium. Its description in RNAcentral is "partial small subunit ribosomal RNA". It matches the Rfam family "Bacterial small subunit ribosomal RNA", at positions 26 to 285 of the family's 1533-position model. The record is from RNAcentral.